GAUGAAGAACGCAGCGAAAUGCGAUAAGUAAUGUGAAUUGCAGAAUUCAGUGAAUCAUCGAAUCUUUGAACGCACAUUGCGCCCCCUGGUAUUCCGGGGGGCAUGCCUGUUCGAGCGUCAUUUCAACCCUCAAGCUCUGCUUGGUAUUGAGUCCAUGUCAGCAAUGGCAGGCUCCAAAAUCAGUGGCGGCGCCGCUGGGUCCUGAACGUAGUAAUAUCUCUCGUUACAGGUGCUCGGCGUGCUUCUGCCAAAACGCCAAUUUUUCUAUGGUUGACCUCGGAUCAGGUAGGGAUACGCGCUGAACUUAAGCAUAUCAAUAAGCGGAGGA
This 328-nucleotide unclassified non-coding RNA is filed under the name soil metagenome. Its description in RNAcentral is "partial contains 5.8S ribosomal RNA, internal transcribed spacer 2, and large subunit ribosomal RNA". The stretch from base 1 to 120 matches the Rfam family "5.8S ribosomal RNA", at positions 35 to 154 of the family's 154-position model. The record is from RNAcentral.